GACGAACGCUGGCGGCGUGCUUAACACAUGCAAGUCGAACGGAAAGGCCCUGCUUUUGUGGGGUGCUCGAGUGGCGAACGGGUGAGUAACACGUGAGUAACCUGCCCUUGACUUUGGGAUAACUUCAGGAAACUGGGGCUAAUACCGGAUAGGAGCUCCUGCUGCAUGGUGGGGGUUGGAAAGUUUCGGCGGUUGGGGAUGGACUCGCGGCUUAUCAGCUUGUUGGUGGGGUAGUGGCUUACCAAGGCUUUGACGGGUAGCCGGCCUGAGAGGGUGACCGGCACAAUGGGAAUGGGGAUCGGGCCAGACUCCUACGGGAGGCAGCAGUGGGGAAUAUUGCACAAUGGGCGGAAGCCUGAUGCAGCAACGCCGCGUGCGGGAUGACGGCCUUCGGGUUGUAAACCGCUUUCGCCUGUGACGAAGCGUGAGUGACGGUAAUGGGUAAAGAAGCACCGGCUAACUACGUG
RNAcentral lists this ribosomal RNA (467 nucleotides) under uncultured bacterium. Its description in RNAcentral is "partial 16S ribosomal RNA". It matches the Rfam family "Bacterial small subunit ribosomal RNA", at positions 28 to 507 of the family's 1533-position model. The record is from RNAcentral.